Molecule: long non-coding RNA, 205 nt
Filed under: Prunus persica (peach)
Lineage: Eukaryota; Viridiplantae; Streptophyta; Magnoliopsida; Rosales; Rosaceae
Description: long non-coding RNA (PPER_LNC007025)
Source: RNAcentral
GGGAGGAGUCAUUUGGUGAAUUUUGAGUGAAAUCCAAUGGCUAAAACAAUUCAAUAAACCAACCACUCCAUUUCAUAACGAACUUCUUACGAACCUGAAUUGUCCAAUCUCAUUGACCAAUCGAUAUCGAAUGUUGUUGGAGGAGUCAUUUGGGUUUUGAGUGAAAUACAAUUACCAAAACUAUGCAAUACACAAACCGCUCCAU